Molecule: long non-coding RNA, 2115 nt
Organism: Felis catus (domestic cat)
Lineage: Eukaryota; Metazoa; Chordata; Mammalia; Carnivora; Felidae
Exons: 3
Source: RefSeq, a predicted model, not a curated record
UGUGUGCAUGCGUGCAUGUACAUUUGCAUGCAAUCGACACACACACAUGAGAAACACCAAGAUGGUCAGUGUCUAAGUGCUAACUGAAAUAGAGAGGUUACAAACUCCCUGUGCCAUGGUGGCCAAAAGGACUUUUAGGAUGAGAUGACCAGUAUGUAGUUUUAAGUUAUUCGCUGUGUCAUGCAGGGAUAUAACUCUUUGAUGGUGACCUAGAAAACCUUAGCAAAAGUUUUGCUACACAUCCACAGGCAUUGUUCCCUUGUUGCUUCAGUGGGGAAUCAGGGAGAUAAAGGGUUGACCUCAAUGCAUAGAGCAGAGAACAGGGAUUCAGCAGAGGCAGGAAAUGGGAGAGAAAUCAGCAGAUGCAGGAACAUAUAUUUCCUUCUUCCAUUUUCCUCUCCCUGGGAAUUUUGCAGACAUUUUGAAGAGGUCUCUGCACUUAACAAUGGGUAUGGAAUGGGAUGUGACCUCUUUAAUUUACAUCAUUUGGGACAUCUACAUUAGGGUCUUACCACGCUGGUGGCUGCAGGAUUCAUCACACGAGUAAUUAUUCAAUUACUGGGAAUUGCCUUCCCCUGUAGAGAGUAAGCUCCUUGAGGGCAGGGACCAUGUCUUUUUUAUCAAUAAAGUUCAUAUUGGGCAGUGGUUCAGCCCCUAAAAUAAGUAUCCAAUUAAUAUUUAUUAAAUAGUUCCCUCCUAAUAGGGAAAAACUUUCAUUUAAAUACUCAUAGCAUCCCUUCUGCCCUCAGCUUGUGGUGCUACUUCCCUGAGGACAACUGUGUUUUGCCAGGCAGGCUCCUGGACCAGCACUUAUUGCUUGUGGAUGAUGGGGAGACCAGACGAGUUGGGAGAAGCCAGCCAGGUUUACACUGGAAAUAUCAAAGAACUCCUGACAAGAGAAAAGUAGUGGAUACAGACAGUGGGAGGGGAGACAGAGAAGACAUUUUGUGGGAGUUGAGUUUGAGAGGUUUGGGGAUCUUGGAGAGGGAAAAGAGGGUCUUUGGAGGCAGGUGCAAGGCAUAUGAAUGCACACACAAAUAUGAUUCUUCUGUGGAUAAAACUGGAAGAAAAGGUGGUUUCAGUCAGUUUUGGUGUGUGUUGUGUUACCAGUGUGAUCUCUGGACAAUUUUAAUAGAUUUCAGUAAAGAUAAAAAUUGCUUCUUGGUUAGUUCUGGCUGUAUUUCUUUUCUUUUCUUUUUUAAAGAUUUUAUUUUUAAGCACUCUCUACACCCAACAUGGGGCUCAAACUCACAACCCUGAGAUCAAGAGUCACAUGCUCUACCGACUGAGCCAACCAGAUGCUCCCGGCUGCAUUUCUUUGAAUGAGACUCCAGACUAAGGCUGACUGCUAGGUAUUUUUAAAAUCCUGGGCCCGAUGCCACCUGUCAGGAAACACACACUCUGACAUCUCUCACAAGUGCUGCAGGGAGGAGGCAUGAUGCCCAACAAUGACCCGACAGGAGAUGUGAUCCCUCUGGAAGCUUCCAGACACUGUGCUCCUCAUUGGGCUCAGGUGUUGAGUGUCAAGCAGAUGAGCCUGAGGUUAUUCAGGACCCUGUCAGGUCAUUCAGAGGAACAAAACCACAACAAACUGACCGGAACCUUUGAUGUCUGGAAGAAGUUCACUGCCUGUGCCAGCCAGGGGCUGUCCCACCACGUUCUUGUCGGCCUGAAAGAAAAGAAAGGAGGAACUCAGGAUUCCAAACUAAUGGCCUGGUGUUGGAAGCUGCUUGGGAGUAUGAGACAUGCAGAUAAAAAGAGGCACUAAGAUGCACAGGUACUGCACAUCUAUGUGUUCCAGGCACUGUACUGUGCAGUUGGGAGCUGCAGAUCCAUACCCAGAAAUAUUUAUUUAGAGGAAUGAUGGACCCUUUUCUGGAGCCAAUCACAAUCCAGUGGGGAGACAGACAAGUCAGCAAAGCGUUCCAGUGCCAUAUAACAAACGCUGUGAUGGAGGAAAGUGUGAGUGCUCAGGUAACCUCAGAGAAGGGAGGGCCUACCUCUGGGCAAGGUGAGGUGACCCCUCACAAGAGGCAUUAUUUGAAAAGAAUCUUUAAAAAGCAGGAGUUGAUGAGGCAAAUGAGGGACGGAGAAACAGAGUUUUCUUACCUUCUU